Molecule: long non-coding RNA, 756 nt
Organism: Ictalurus punctatus (channel catfish)
Lineage: Eukaryota; Metazoa; Chordata; Actinopteri; Siluriformes; Ictaluridae
Source: Ensembl
GUGUUUUACAAUUUUUCUUUUUUUCAUGAUUUUUAGUCGCCUUUUAAAAUGUACAGUUCUGUUAUUUAAAAAGAGAUUUCUUGUUCACUAGUGUUACUGCUAUUUUUAUGCCAUUUUAAACUUUUCUUUUUCAGAUAUUAAAAUAAUACUACACCAUAAUGCUUUUGGUUUGUGACAUAUAGUGCUUAACUUUGAUUUGAUAGAAACAAUAAAACCCUUUUUGUCUCUCUUUAUGAAUUGUCACACACCCUUCUAUCAGUAAUCACUUUUAUUUUCAGGUUUUUUUUUUUUUAACACAGAAUUGAAUUUCGCUUUGUUUUCUCUGACUUCUUCAUGAAAGAAUGAUCUCACUACAGUCUUCCUUCUUGUAUUUUUGUUUUGCCAGUAGAUGGAGGCAGCGAGAUAUAUUUCACCUGUUUGUGUUCAGGAAAAAGAGAAAGUAGGAGUACACUGGUGAGAAAGGCACCUUUGUCCUUGUUUCAUGAUGAACACCUUCUCAUGUGGUGGUUUGAAGAGAAAGAUGCAGCGAAGAUAUUUAUGACAACCAUUAUCUUCUGUUGUGAGCCAACGAGGGAAUUUACUGGAGGAUUUGUUUCACUUCACGUCUCUCUCUGAUGAAAGUAACCCUUGCCUUGAACUCUCCCGGGAACUCUGAGAGGACUUUUAUAGAAUUCUCAUUGUAACCAGCAGAUGAACUAAUUACACUAUAUGGCUAAAGUUAUAAUAGCCUCCACUCUUCUUGGAAGGCUUUCCGCU